Molecule: non-coding RNA, 429 nt
Filed under: Nelumbo nucifera (sacred lotus)
Lineage: Eukaryota; Viridiplantae; Streptophyta; Magnoliopsida; Proteales; Nelumbonaceae
Description: Eukaryotic large subunit ribosomal RNA
Rfam family: Eukaryotic large subunit ribosomal RNA
Source: Rfam by way of RNAcentral
GGUAGUAGCAAAUAUUCAAAUGAGAACUUUGAAGGCCGAAGAAGGGAAAGGUUCCAUGUGAACGGCACUUGAGCAUGGGUCAGUCGAUCCUAAGAGAUGGGGGAAGCCCAUCAGACAGCGCGAUCAGCACAAACUUCGAAAGGGAAUCGGGUUAAAUUUCCUGAGCCAGGACGCAGUGGUUGGCGGCAAUGUUAGGGAGUUCGGAGACGUUGGCGGGGCCCCGGGAAGAGAUAUCUUUUCUGUUUAACGGCCUUCCCACCCUGGAAUUGGCUCAGCCGAAGGUAGGGUCCAGCGGCCGGAAGAGCACCGCACGUCGCGUGGUGUCCGGUACGCCCACGGCGGCCCUUGAAAAUCCAGAGGACCGAGUGCUGGUCGCGCCCGAUCGUACUCAUAACCGCAUCAGGUCUCCAAGGUGAACAGCCUCUGGUC